CCUACGGGAGGCUGCAGUGGGGAAUAUUGGACAAUGGGGGGAACCCUGAUCCAGCCAUGCCGCGUGUGUGAAGAAGGCCCUCGGGUUGUAAAGCACUUUCAGUGAGGAAGAACGCCUGGUGGUUAAUACCCAUCAGGAAAGACAUCACUCACAGAAGAAGCACCGUCUAACUCCGUGCCAGCAGCCGCGGUAAUACGGAGGGUGCGAGCGUUAAUCGGAAUUACUGGGCGUAAAGCGCGCGUAGGUGGCUUGAUAAGCCGGUUGUGAAAGCCCCGGGCUCAACCUGGGAACGGCAUCCGGAACUGUCAAGCUAGAGUGCAGGAGAGGAAGGUAGAAUUCCCGGUGUAGCGGUGAAAUGCGUAGAGAUCGGGAGGAAUACCAGUGGCGAAGGCGGCCUUCUGGACUGACACUGACACUGAGGUGCGAAAGCGUGGGUAGCAAACAGGAUUAGAUACCCCUGUAGUC
This 465-nucleotide ribosomal RNA is filed under the name Vreelandella stevensii. RNAcentral's name for it is "partial 16S ribosomal RNA". It matches the Rfam family "Bacterial small subunit ribosomal RNA", at positions 338 to 795 of the family's 1533-position model. Lineage: Bacteria; Pseudomonadati; Pseudomonadota; Gammaproteobacteria; Oceanospirillales; Halomonadaceae. The record is from RNAcentral.